Molecule: ribosomal RNA, 442 nt
Filed under: uncultured soil bacterium
Lineage: Bacteria
Description: bacterial SSU rRNA
Rfam family: Bacterial small subunit ribosomal RNA
Source: RNAcentral
AGAACGAACGCUGGCGGCAUGCCUAAUACAUGCAAGUCGAACGAACUCUUCGGAGUUAGUGGCGCACGGGUGCGUAACGCGUGGGAAUCUGCCCCUUGGUUCGGAAUAACAGUUGGAAACGACUGCUAAUACCGGAUGAUGACGAAAGUCCAAAGAUUUAUCGCCAAGGGAUGAGCCCGCGUAGGAUUAGCUAGUUGGUGAGGUAAAGGCUCACCAAGGCAACGAUCCUUAGCUGGUCUGAGAGGAUGAUCAGCCACACUGGGACUGAGACACGGCCCAGACUCCUACGGGAGGCAGCAGUAGGGAAUAUUGGACAAUGGGCGAAAGCCUGAUCCAGCAAUGCCGCGUGAGUGAUGAAGGCCUUAGGUGUAAAGCUCUUUUACCCGAGAUGAUAAUGACAGUAUCGGAGAAUAAGCCCGGCUAACUCCGUGCCAGCAGCCAC